This 207-nucleotide long non-coding RNA is filed under the name Elaeis guineensis (African oil palm). RNAcentral describes it as "long non-coding RNA (EGUI_LNC073831)". The record is from RNAcentral. Lineage: Eukaryota; Viridiplantae; Streptophyta; Magnoliopsida; Arecales; Arecaceae.
CUGAUGGGACUUCAAAGCUGUCUGAUCCAUCUCUAAACUGUUUUGUCUGUAAAAAAAAUAUUUAUUAAAUUUAUAAAUAUAUCAUUGAAUACAGAUCGUAUUUAGUUGAAUAAUCACAUCUGUUUUAAAGUAGCAUACUUCUUACAGGCACAACGAUGUGAUUUUUGGAUCGGACACCAUCUUAUAUAUCAUAUUACGAAGAGCAGC